UUCUCGCCACCGCCCGUUCACCGU
RNAcentral lists this non-coding RNA (24 nucleotides) under Arabidopsis thaliana (thale cress). The record is from RNAcentral. Lineage: Eukaryota; Viridiplantae; Streptophyta; Magnoliopsida; Brassicales; Brassicaceae.